RNAcentral lists this ribosomal RNA (374 nucleotides) under uncultured bacterium. RNAcentral describes it as "bacterial SSU rRNA". It matches the Rfam family "Bacterial small subunit ribosomal RNA", at positions 29 to 430 of the family's 1533-position model. The record is from RNAcentral.
AACGAACGCUGGCGGCAGGCCUAACACAUGCAAGUCGAACGCCCUAGCAAUAGGGAGUGGCAGACGGGUGAGUAACACGUGGGGAACCUUCCCUAUAGUACGGAAUAGCUCAGGGAAACUUGAAGUAAUACCGUAUACGCCCGAGAGGGGAAAGAUUUAUCGCUAUAGGAUGGGCCCGCGUCGGAUUAGCUAGUUGGUGAGGUAAUGGCUCACCAAGGCGACGAUCCGUAGCUGGUUGAGAGAACGACCAGCCACACUGGGACUGAGACACGGCCCAGACUCCUACGGGAGGCAGCAGUGGGGAAUAUUGGACAAUGGGCGCAAGCCUGAUCCAGCCAUGCCGCGUGAGUGAUGAAGGCCUUAGGGUUGUAAAG